This 769-nucleotide ribosomal RNA is filed under the name Bacillus cereus. RNAcentral's name for it is "bacterial SSU rRNA". It matches the Rfam family "Bacterial small subunit ribosomal RNA", at positions 24 to 773 of the family's 1533-position model. The record is from RNAcentral. Lineage: Bacteria; Bacillati; Bacillota; Bacilli; Caryophanales; Bacillaceae.
UCAGGAUGAACGCUGGCGGCGUGCCUAAUACAUGCAAGUCGAGCGAAUGGAUUAAGAGCUUGCUCUUAUGAAGUUAGCGGCGGACGGGUGAGUAACACGUGGGUAACCUGCCCAUAAGACUGGGAUAACUCCGGGAAACCGGGGCUAAUACCGGAUAACAUUUUGAACCGCAUGGUUCGAAAUUGAAAGGCGGCUUCGGCUGUCACUUAUGGAUGGACCCGCGUCGCAUUAGCUAGUUGGUGAGGUAACGGCUCACCAAGGCAACGAUGCGUAGCCGACCUGAGAGGGUGAUCGGCCACACUGGGACUGAGACACGGCCCAGACUCCUACGGGAGGCAGCAGUAGGGAAUCUUCCGCAAUGGACGAAAGUCUGACGGAGCAACGCCGCGUGAGUGAUGAAGGCUUUCGGGUCGUAAAACUCUGUUGUUAGGGAAGAACAAGUGCUAGUUGAAUAAGCUGGCACCUUGACGGUACCUAACCAGAAAGCCACGGCUAACUACGUGCCAGCAGCCGCGGUAAUACGUAGGUGGCAAGCGUUAUCCGGAAUUAUUGGGCGUAAAGCGCGCGCAGGUGGUUUCUUAAGUCUGAUGUGAAAGCCCACGGCUCAACCGUGGAGGGUCAUUGGAAACUGGGAGACUUGAGUGCAGAAGAGGAAAGUGGAAUUCCAUGUGUAGCGGUGAAAUGCGUAGAGAUAUGGAGGAACACCAGUGGCGAAGGCGACUUUCUGGUCUGUAACUGACACUGAGGCGCGAAAGCGUGGGGAGCAAAC